RNAcentral lists this ribosomal RNA (253 nucleotides) under uncultured bacterium. RNAcentral describes it as "partial 16S ribosomal RNA". It matches the Rfam family "Bacterial small subunit ribosomal RNA", at positions 524 to 776 of the family's 1533-position model. The record is from RNAcentral.
UACAGAGGGGGCAAGCGUUAUUCGGAAUUAUUGGGCGUAAAGAGCUCGUAGGCGGCCUGUCGCGUCGACCGUGAAAACCCGCAGCUCAACUGCGGGCUUGCGGUCGAUACGGGCAGGCUGGAGUUCGGUAGGGGAGACUGGAAUUCCUGGUGUAGCGGUGAAAUGCGCAGAUAUCAGGAGGAAUACCGAUGGCGAAGGCAGGUCUCUGGGCUAACACUGACGCUCAUGCACGAAAGCGUGGGGAGCAAACAGG